GGGGGGGGGGGGGGGGGGGGCGGGGGGGGGGGGGGGGGGGGGGGGGAGGGGGGGGUGGCUGCUGGGACGGUAGCGGCGGACGGGUGAGUAACACGUGGAUAACCGACCUAUAAGACGGGGCUAACUUCGGGAAACCGGAGCUAAUACCGGGUAAUAUGUUGAACCGCAUGGUUCAAUAGUGAAAGACGGUGUUGCUGUCACUUAUAGAUGGAUCCGCGCCGCAUUAUCUAGUUGGUAAGGUACCGGCUUACCAAGGCAAAGUUGCGUAGCCGACCUGAGAGGGUGAUCGGCCACACUGGAACUGAGACACGGUCCAGACUCCUACGGGAGGCAGCAGUAGGGAAUCUUCCGCAAUGGGCGAAAGCCUGACGGAGCAACGCCGCGUGAGUGAUGAAGGUCUUCGGAUCGUAAAACUCUGUUAUUAGGGAAGAACAAAUGUGUAAGUAACUAUGCACGUCUUGACGGUACCUAAUCAGAAAGCCACGGCUAACUACGUG
RNAcentral lists this ribosomal RNA (497 nucleotides) under uncultured bacterium. RNAcentral describes it as "partial 16S ribosomal RNA". It matches the Rfam family "Bacterial small subunit ribosomal RNA", at positions 38 to 507 of the family's 1533-position model. The record is from RNAcentral.